Molecule: non-coding RNA, 105 nt
Organism: Otolemur garnettii (small-eared galago)
Lineage: Eukaryota; Metazoa; Chordata; Mammalia; Primates; Galagidae
Source: Rfam
AUAGAAAUUAGCACUAUGCAAAGAGAGAAUGAAAGAAAUGAUAAAAAGUGAGCAUGGCACCUGUGCAAGGAUGAUACUCAAAUUCAUGAAGCAUUUCUUUUUUUU